Molecule: transfer RNA, 75 nt
Filed under: Candidatus Altimarinota bacterium
Lineage: Bacteria; Candidatus Altimarinota
Description: tRNA-Asn
Rfam family: tRNA
About the family: Transfer RNA (tRNA) molecules are approximately 80 nucleotides in length. Their secondary structure includes four short double-helical elements and three loops (D, anti-codon, and T loops). Further hydrogen bonds mediate the characteristic L-shaped molecular structure. tRNAs have two regions of fundamental functional importance: the anti-codon, which is responsible for specific mRNA codon recognition, and the 3' end, to which the tRNAs corresponding amino acid is attached (by aminoacyl-tRNA synthetases). tRNAs cope with the degeneracy of the genetic code in two manners: having more than one tRNA (with a specific anti-codon) for a particular amino acid; and 'wobble' base-pairing, i.e. permitting non-standard base-pairing at the 3rd anti-codon position.
Source: RNAcentral
UCCUCUGUAGCUCAGCGGUAGAGUACGGGACUGUUAAUCCUAUGGUCACUGGUUCGAAUCCAGUCAGGGGAGCCA